RNAcentral lists this ribosomal RNA (344 nucleotides) under Trioza sp. 9 NS38. RNAcentral's name for it is "partial 12S ribosomal RNA". The record is from RNAcentral. Lineage: Eukaryota; Metazoa; Arthropoda; Insecta; Hemiptera; Triozidae.
UUUAGUGUAAAAUAUGCUGGAGUAGUAAUAGUUAUGAUCUUCAAACUUAAAAAAUUUGGCGGUAUUUUAUCUUAUCAGAGGAACCUGUUUAGUAAUUGAUAUUCCACAACUAAUUUUUACUUUUAUUAUAAUACUUGUAUACCGCCGUCAUAAACAUAUUUAAAAAUUUAUUUUUUUUCGUUUUUAUGAAAUUUAUGUUAGGUCAAGGUGCAGUAUGUAAAAGAAACAAAUGGGUUACAUUAUGGUAGUAUGAAAGAAUUAAAUUAGAUAUAAAUAUAUGAAAUUGGAUUUGAAAGUAAAUUUUUGUUAAUAGAAACAAUAUGAAUAAAGAUUCUAAAAUAUGU